GUCUAUGGCGAUACCACCCUGAACGCGCCCAAUCUCAUCGGAUCUCGGAAGCUAAGCAGGGUCGGGCCUGGUUAGUACUUGGAUGGGAGAAAUUGGGUCUGAGCAGAAC
RNAcentral lists this ribosomal RNA (109 nucleotides) under Neogale vison (American mink). The record is from RNAcentral. Lineage: Eukaryota; Metazoa; Chordata; Mammalia; Carnivora; Mustelidae.